UACGGAGGGUGCAAGCGUUGUCCGGAUUUAUUGGGUUUAAAGGGUGCGUAGGUGGGAAUGUAAGUCAGUGGUGAAAUCUCUGAGCUUAACUCAGAAACUGCCAUUGAUACUAUGUUUCUUGAAUUUUCUGGAGGUCAGCGGAAUAUGUCAUGUAGCGGUGAAAUGCUUAGAUAUGUCACAGAACACCAAUUGCGAAGGCAGCUUACUAAAGUAUGAUUGACGCUGAGGCACGAAAGCGUGGGGAUCAAACAGGA
RNAcentral lists this ribosomal RNA (254 nucleotides) under uncultured bacterium. RNAcentral describes it as "partial 16S ribosomal RNA". It matches the Rfam family "Bacterial small subunit ribosomal RNA", at positions 524 to 777 of the family's 1533-position model. The record is from RNAcentral.